Molecule: ribosomal RNA, 426 nt
Filed under: uncultured Rummeliibacillus sp.
Lineage: Bacteria; Bacillati; Bacillota; Bacilli; Caryophanales; Caryophanaceae
Description: bacterial SSU rRNA
Rfam family: Bacterial small subunit ribosomal RNA
Source: RNAcentral
AGGGAAUCUUCCACAAUGGCCGGAAGUCUGAUGGAGCAACGCCGCGUGAGUGAUGAAGGUUUUCGGAUCGUAAAACUCUGUUGUAAGGGAGAACCCAGUACGCCGGCCAAGGGACGUCCUUUGCCGGUACCUUAUUAGAAAGCCACGGCUAACACGGUGCCAGCAGCCGCGGUAAUACGUAGGUGGCAAGCGUUGUCCGGAAUUAUUGGGCGUAAAGCGCGCGCAGGUGGUUUCUUAAGUCUGAUGUGAAAGCCCACGGCUUAACCGUGGAGGGUCAUUGGAAACUGGGAGACUUGAGUGCAGAAGAGGAACGUGGAAUUCCAAGUGUAGCUGUGAAAUGCGUAGAGAUUUGGAGGAACACCAGUGGCGAAGGCGACUUUCUGGUCUGCAACUGACGCUGAGCCGCGAAAGCAUAGGGAGCAAACA